Molecule: ribosomal RNA, 1302 nt
Filed under: metagenome
Description: bacterial LSU rRNA
Rfam family: Bacterial large subunit ribosomal RNA
Source: RNAcentral
UACACGACCGUACCGCAAACCGACACUGGUGCGCGAGAUGAGUAUUCUAAGGCGCUUGAGAGAACUCAGGAGAAGGAACUCGGCAAAUUGACACCGUAACUUCGGAAGAAGGUGUGCCUUUAGUAGGUGAAGUCCCUCGCGGAUGGAGCCCAAUGAGGUUGCAAAAAAUCGGUGGCUGCGACUGUUUAUUAAAAACACAGCACUCUGCAAACACGAAAGUGGACGUAUAGGGUGUGACGCCUGCCCGGUGCUGGAAGAUUAAAUGAUGGGGUGCAAGCUCUUGAUUGAAGUCCCAGUAAACGGCGGCCGUAACUAUAACGGUCCUAAGGUAGCGAAAUUCCUUGUCGGGUAAGUUCCGACCUGCACGAAUGGCGUAACGAUGGCCACACUGUCUCCUCCUGAGACUCAGCGAAGUUGAAAUGUUUGUGAUGAUGCAAUCUCCCCGCGGAAAGACGGAAAGACCCCAUGAACCUUUACUGUAGCUUUGUAUUGGACUUUGAACAGAUCUGUGUAGGAUAGGUGGGAGGCUUUGAAGCAGGGUCGCUAGAUCUUGUGGAGCCAACGUUGAAAUACCACCCUGGUGUGUUUGAGGUUCUAACCUAGGCCCGUAAUCCGGGUUGGGGACAGUGCAUGGUAGGCAGUUUGACUGGGGCGGUCUCCUCCCAAAGUGUAACGGAGGAGUUCGAAGGUACGCUAGUUACGGUCGGACAUCGUGACGAUAGUGCAAUGGCAUAAGCGUGCUUAACUGCGAGACUGACAAGUCGAGCAGAUGCGAAAGCAGGACAUAGUGAUCCGGUGGUUCUGUAUGGAAGGGCCAUCGCUCAACGGAUAAAAGGUACUCUGGGGAUAACAGGCUGAUACCGCCCAAGAGUUCAUAUCGACGGCGGUGUUUGGCACCUCGAUGUCGGCUCAUCUCAUCCUGGGGCUGUAGCCGGUCCCAAGGGUAUGGCUGUUCGCCAUUUAAAGAGGUACGUGAGCUGGGUUUAAAACGUCGUGAGACAGUUUGGUCCCUAUCUUCCGUGGGCGCUGCAGAUUUGAGGAAGCCUGCUCCUAGUACGAGAGGACCGGAGUGGACGCACCUCUGGUGUAUCGGUUGUCACGCCAGUGGCAUUGCCGAGUAGCUAUGUGCGGAAGAGAUAACCGCUGAAAGCAUCUAAGCGGGAAACUCGUUUCAAGAUGAGAUCUGCCGGGGCCUUGAGCCCCCUGAAGAGUCGUUCAAGACCAGGACGUUGAUAGGUCGGGUGUGGAAGCGCAGUAAUGCGUUAAGCUAACCGAUACUAAUUGCUCGUGCGGCUUGACCCU